UACGAGGGGUCCUAGCGUUGUUCGGAAUCAUUGGGCGUAAAGCGGGUGUAGGCGGACUGGUAAGUCAGAAGUGAAAGCCCCGGGCUCAACCCGGGAAGUGCUUUUGAUACUGUCAGUCUUGAGUGUGGGAGAGGAUAGUGGAAUUCCAGGUGUAGUGGUGAAAUACGUAGAUAUCUGGAGGAACACCGGUGGCGAAGGCGGCUAUCUGGCCCAACACUGACGCUCAGACCCGAAAGCGUGGGGAGCAAACAGG
Molecule: ribosomal RNA, 253 nt
Filed under: uncultured bacterium
Lineage: Bacteria
Description: partial 16S ribosomal RNA
Rfam family: Bacterial small subunit ribosomal RNA
Source: RNAcentral